Long non-coding RNA from Lathyrus oleraceus (garden pea), 723 nucleotides. RefSeq lists it as uncharacterized. The transcript has 3 exons. The record is from RefSeq and is a predicted model, not a curated record. NCBI's taxonomy places the organism in Eukaryota, Viridiplantae, Streptophyta, Magnoliopsida, Fabales, Fabaceae.
GGAUUAGGGCAGUUUCUUUCUCUCCUUAUUACUGGAACUGGUUUCGCCUCUUCUGAAUUAUUUAAAAAAGGUUAUUUCUUCUCUUUUAGUGCGGUUUUGUUCUGUUUUGAAUUUAAAUUUCAAAUUUGUAUGUUUUUAAUUGUUGUUAAUUAAUUUUUCUGUUGGAGGUUUGAUCAGUUAGAGGCUGAAGAGGUUAUAGGGGUGGUUAAUUCAGUUAGUUAGUAGAAAGGAGGGUUUUGUUGGAGGUUAGGAUUCAGUUUUUGCAUUCUGUUAUGACAGUUGGGUUAGAAAACUGUUAUGGGCUAGUUGAAGCAGUUAGAGAGAGUUAUCAAGUUUUGUUUCCUCCUGUUAUCAGUUUUUUCCAGUGUGGUGAAAAGUUUCUCUGAAAGUGCUUGCCCUUUUUUGGUGAUCUCUGUUAUGUGAGGUUGUGAAGAAUUCUCCUAUCAUUUCUGUGCAGAGUUAAGGUUUUUGUAGCAGUUGCUGGCUUGGUUAUCAAUUGGAGGUUGUGUAUCAUGGAUUGGAUGCUUGAACUGAAUGGAUAUGGAAUGCAUUGCUUGAAUUGGAUAUGGAUUUUUGUUGUAAAUUUUGUAUUGUUGUAAAUUGACAAUAAAUGUAUGCAUGGAUUUUUGAAUGAAUGAAAUGGUGUUAAUGUAUGUAUGUUUGGAAAUGAAUUGAACAUUUGGAAAUUGGAAUGAAUUCAUAGGAAAAUGUUGGUUUAAUGUA